CUAUGGAACAUCCGAAGAGGCGCUCACAUGCUCUUACCGGAGAAGUGAAUUUUGCCCAGGAGGAUGAUAAACGAUUAGAGACAACUAGAGCAAGAUUGUCUAAUGUUCUUAAAAGGCAUCAAGCAUUGACUGAGCGUCUUCAAAGGUAUACUAUAA
Dendrobium catenatum is the source of this 156-nucleotide long non-coding RNA. RefSeq lists it as uncharacterized. The transcript is spliced from 3 exons. NCBI's taxonomy places the organism in Eukaryota, Viridiplantae, Streptophyta, Magnoliopsida, Asparagales, Orchidaceae. The record is from RefSeq and is a predicted model, not a curated record.